Dalotia coriaria is the source of this 2289-nucleotide long non-coding RNA. RefSeq lists it as uncharacterized. The record is from RefSeq and is a predicted model, not a curated record. Lineage: Eukaryota; Metazoa; Arthropoda; Insecta; Coleoptera; Staphylinidae. The transcript has 2 exons.
UUUAUUUUUGGUUUACAAAUAUAAGUUAAACUAAUUAUUGCAUUUUUUAUCAAUUGUCGUUUGAGCACGUACCUACCUGUCCAAUUAGUUAGAACAAGUCAAGUACUAUUUUUAACUUUUAGUAGACGUCAGACGUCCAUGUUUGUUCCAGUCAUCGGUGGUUUUUUUAUUGCGAAAUUAUUUCCCUCGACAUUUUCAGAAUAGAGCAUAGAGUAAUUAAACAUUUGCACAAUGCGACAACGUCCCCACAUCCGUGAGCAUCUAUAACUAAUAAAAAUGGUGGACAUUUGAAUGCGGUAAUCACGUUUGCUUGGUAACAGUUGAAACAAUUAACAAUUUUAUGUUUUAUGUGCAAUUUAUUAAUGUACAUUAAUAUUUUUUUAAUUUCUGCUUGAAUCUAGUUCUUUGAUGAACAUAAACUGGAUAUUUUGUAAGAUUUUCAGGUUUUUUGUCUUUGCGAAUGUUUGUAUCACUAAUAAAAUUGCAGAAACAAAAAGUGCAAUUUAGAUUCAAGGUCGUUUCGCUGCACCUUCAGACUCGACUAGACUCGCCAUCGCCAUCGCAUCGCAUCAACAAUAAACAACAAUCGAGGCACAAACAAAAUGGAUUCCACUUACUGCAUUUCAACAUAAAAUACGAGACAUUUAAAAAUUUCCAGGAUUUAUAUCAAUACUACAUCAGAGUGUUUUGACGUGAUGUACGUGCAUGAAAAUUUUAGUGUGCACGUAAUCACCGACCACAUUACGUAAUUGAAAAUGUACUUGGUUUGGCCUGCGCCUUGUACUUAAUUACGGCGUUUGCAUACCGAGGACUGCGCUUCGCAUGAUGCAUGAUGCACACGCAUCCUAUGCAUUGUGAUUUCGUGGUCGCCGUUGAUUUGUGAGUUGUGACCAUGCAUAAAAUAUGCGAGUACAAAAGUACAAGUACAGCACGCUAUUCGUUCACCACGUCGCCAACAAACAAACUCAAAUAUGCACCUAGUUUAAAGUAUUAUUUAAAGUUAUAACUUACAACUUAUUUAAGUGUGUACCCUGGACUACACUUACAUCGGCUGAAUACUAUAUUUAUGUAAAUAUUUAUGUUUAAAGGUAAUGAAAACAACGAAGAAUUUUGUCAUUUUUAAACAUUUGGAGGUUGCUACAGGAUAUAAGGUGAUUUUGUUGUGCUUUAACUCUUAAUUAUGAUAUCUAUUCUAAAGUAAGAAGAUUAAGUUUAAAUAUCUAGUUUAAAGUUUUGCUUAAAAAAUGAUGGAGAAAUAAUAAUGAAUUUUUCACCUUCUUCGGAAAGUAUUAGAAAGUAUUAGACUAAAAGAACUGUAAAAAAAAACUGUAAAAUAUUGCAAGAAAACUUAAGAAAUACCAAGUGUCAUUCUGCGCAAUAGUUUCGCAAAAAUGCGAAAAGUUGGCAGAUUUUUUCCUAAAUAUUGAUGAUAUUGGAAAAUUGACUGAAUAUGUCUGAUCGCAUUGCAAUUCUCUAUUGACUGGUGUUUUUCAUUUUGUUCUAGCUGCAUUUUGAGUUUUAAGGCCAAAAAAUUAUCAAAUGUAACCUCUUGACUAAUUUUGGGUGUUUUUGUUCAACUUUAUAGAAUCAAAAAACUAAAACUGCCAUUUUAUAUAUCCUUAUUAUGACAUGAAGAAAAUGCAAAAAGUUCAGUUCAAACUUUUAUGGUUCAGGAGGAAAACGCAUCGAAAACUUAUUUUUUACAGCUUUAAAAAUACGUUUUCUAAAAUCUUAUCUUAUUUAGAAUCCUAUGCUAAACAUGACCCCGUUUUACAUUUUCGAUUAUCUUUAUUAGAUAGCCAGAUAAUUGAGGAUUAAACAUUGUGGCAAGUACAUGCUAGAUAGCAAACCCUUAGUACUAUUAAGCAGGAAGUUAUAGAAAUAAGAUUAUACUAUGCCACGGUUUACAAUGGUUUUAUUAAUUUUUGCUAAUUUUUAUAAACAUUAAAUCACAUAGUCGGCGCCUCCGCCAUAUUUUUAAUAAUUAUUUCGUGUUUUAAGAGAUUAAAAAAAGUCAACACUUUUUAUUACGGGAAAUCAUCAGAAUCAACUUUACAGACACAUUUUUUAAAAUAGUUAUUUCUAAUUUAACUUUGAUUUUAAAGAUAGAUGUCAAACAUUUUCUUAAAUUUAUUCCUUUUUUGCUAGAAACAUGAGACUUGAUUGUUUUGUGGCGACUAGUCGACGCGUGGCGAAUGAAGGCCGCAGAAAUAAUGCAUAUAGUUUGUUUAUUAAUCAAUAGGUGACGCUAUAUGUACUAUAACAAAAUAAAAUUUGACUUUAAACGUA